ACCUUUGUGCAGUGGCAGUGUCAUAGCCGAUGAGGUUAAUCUGAGGCGUGAUAUUGCUAGUUGAAAACUUUUCCCAAUACCCUGCAAUGAUGACUUGAAAUAUAGUCAGCAUUGGCAAUUUUUGACAGUCUCAUGUGAGA
RNAcentral lists this small nuclear RNA (140 nucleotides) under Chelydra serpentina (North American snapping turtle). Its description in RNAcentral is "U4 spliceosomal RNA (ENSCSRG00000013831.1)". It matches the Rfam family "U4 spliceosomal RNA". Rfam says of the family: U4 small nuclear RNA (U4 snRNA) is a component of the major U2-dependent spliceosome. The structure of U4 snRNA from yeast and human has been reported. Lineage: Eukaryota; Metazoa; Chordata; Testudines; Chelydridae. The record is from Rfam by way of RNAcentral.